AUAUUUAUCUGGCAGGGGAGAUACCAUGAUCACGAAGGUGGUUUUCCCAGGGCGAGGCUCACCCAUUGCACUCCGGGUGUGCUGACCCCCGUGAUUUCCCCAAAUGUGGGAAACUUGACUGCAUAAUUUGUGGUAGUGAGGAUGCAUUCUUGCUAUCCCCU
This 161-nucleotide small nuclear RNA is filed under the name Echinops telfairi (small Madagascar hedgehog). Its description in RNAcentral is "U1 spliceosomal RNA (ENSETEG00000021751.1)". It matches the Rfam family "U1 spliceosomal RNA". Rfam says of the family: U1 is a small nuclear RNA (snRNA) component of the spliceosome (involved in pre-mRNA splicing). The record is from RNAcentral. Lineage: Eukaryota; Metazoa; Chordata; Mammalia; Afrosoricida; Tenrecidae.